CGCCACCAGGCAGAUCUAGCCGUAGAUUCUAUUCCAAAAAGGUCUCUCCUAAAGUCCCAACAGGCAGCUAUAACAUAGCUCACAUCACAUAUGAGCUUAAUGUCCUUGGCACCCGUGGUCCGAGAAGGAUGCACUGCAUUAUGCACUCAAUCCCCAUCUCAGCCCUUGAGGCAGGUGGCACCGUUCCUGGGCAGCCAGAGCUCCUACCUCGCUCUGUUGAUGACUCAUUCCGAAGCAUUUCCUUCUCAAAGUCUCUUGACCACUCAGUGGAGUUCAGCAGUUCACGCUUUUCUGAAAUUGGUGCUGCUGCUGUUGCUUGCAGUGAAGAUGAGGAAGGGAAAUCAAAACCCUUGAUUCUGAAAAACAAGGCACCGAGAUGGCAUGAACAGUUACAGUGCUGGUGCCUGAAUUUCCGAGGACGAGUUACAGUAGCCUCUGUUAAGAACUUUCAGUUGAUUGCAUCCACACAGCCAACUGUCACGGCUGCACCAACAACUUCCCAGCCAGCGCAACCUGAACAUGAUAAAGUCAUAUUGCAGUUUGGUAAGGUAGGAAAAGAUAUGUUUACUAUGGAUUAUCGCUACCCGUUGUCUGCUUUCCAGGCAUUCGCGAUCUGUUUAAGCAGUUUCGACACCAAAUUGGCUUGUGAAUAAAAGAUUGAAAAAGAAGAUUAUCUUCAACUCUAGAGCUAUAAAAGGAUUGCAUAAAGAGGAAUAGCAUGUCUUCUGUAUUGUUAAUUUCUGUUCAAGUCGUCUCCUUUAGACACCAGAGUAGGAGACUCUUGUUAGUGUCAUGUUUGUUGUAAACUCAACUGUAACAGUAGCCCUAUGCUCUGCUCUUUGGGUGCUUCGACCUUUCUAAUCUCAAUUCUAUCUGUCUCAUCCCCCUCCCUCCCUACCUUUAUAUAUAUGCUGUGGUUCGAAUAAACACCAUUUUAGCGUGAUAAAACAUGAGAACUAUGUGUUCUGCCAUUUUUUUUUUGUUGUGUUCCGCCGAUUUGCUAGAUUUGAUCACGUGAAAUCUCCUAUGUGUAAACUGUGGGCAAGAGGUUGCCAUCUUUGAAGUCUCUUAUUGUCAACUUGGAUGAUAUUUCAUUACUGUAUAGAGAGCAUAAUUAAUCUUUUUCACAGCACAACUAGAUCUAAUCAUUCACCUUCCUAUAUUCAAAAGCAAUUGAAAAAAGUUAAGUUGAUAUGAUAACUUGAGAAAGCAACAAUCUUUUUUCCUCCUACACUGUUAAGGCAUUAAAUGUUAUGGAGAUCCAAGGAGAUCUUCUGGUGAUCACAAAAUGAGGCAGAAUAGGUGUAGAGAGCCAUGAAUAUUGAAUAGAAUUGACACUUUCAAACAAUAAUUAUGGGACAUCAACAUCAACUAGAUCAAAGGCCACAUUGUUUGGCCAACAACUUGUGAUGGUAAUGAUGCAAGGAGAAUUUUGCUUGGAAAAGUUUCUGAUGGUAUCUAGUUUCAAGAAUUCGGAUGGAUCAAAGUUCCCGACUCUCUCAAAACCUCGAGUCAUAUAUAUGUGUUAACACUUAACACAAGCACAAUGAGUUUUUUUUUUAUCAAUGAAGUAAAAAUGGGAUGUAAAACAAAGGUUUGCAUCAACUCCCAGGGAAAUACCAGACUUGUGGGAAGAAAAAAGAGUAUUUUUACUGUGAAGAAGCCUUGUAUGUAGGACAAGACUCAAGAGUGCAAGGCAAGAUUGGAUAUGCUGGUAGGAAAAGAAAGAUAUAUACCAAGCAGAAACUAGUAACAUCAGCUAGGGCCAGUCAUUAAGAACCCAGAAAAGUCUCCAUUAAUGCCUUAUCUACAAGCAAGACACUUUGCACACUUAGACUGGAGGAUUAAUACAGUAGUAGUUUUACUCCCAUCAAUACAGCAGAAAAGUGGCACCCUCAGUUGCUACAGUAAGUAAUGCCUUGAGAAUAGGUCUUGAUCCUGAAAAAACUUCAAAUACGCGGUGCAAGCCUGCAAGGGCAUGUAUCUGACAGGAUCAAGAACAUUUCCUCCACGCGGCUUCGAUGUGUUGUGUAUAAAUUGAUCAGAAUAGCACAAUGCAGUAAUGUAUGGGUUCCAAAAAAUCAAGAUUGCUAUUGUUAAGAACGUCAAGAAGGUGAUGCUGCCAAGACAAAUCGACGGAUGCCUAGAAAUUAAAAAAUCCGCAAAUAGCUGCAGAGGGAAACCUACAGGGAUGCAAAUUUAUGAUUCAUAUGAAUUAGAGGUGAUACCAUCUGGUCAGUAUCAGUUAAGAUAUUGGUAGGAGCCCAGAAUCUGUAACCAAUGACACGUCAUAUAUGCAGCUGCAUGACAGCUGUUGCAAGCCACUCGGGCCAAGAAAUAAAUUUGCAUGUGAAUUUACGAUAUGAAUGUGGAUGACUAGUUACGAUAUGAGUUAACAUUCCAUGUAUUUUAAGAUAUGAAUGUGGAUGACUAGUUGCGAUCAUAAAAUCAAUCAAAAUAUAAAUUUUGGUGUAUCCACUGAAAUUAAAUUAAUUUGUCAAAAUAACUAAUUCAUGUAUCAUCUUUUUGCAGGAAAAAUUGAUAAUGCAGCAUCACCUUCUGCAAGAAUAUUACUAGUACUACUCAAGUAACGCCCAGCUAGGCAUGUCAACGGGUCGGGUUUGGAUCAUCAGUCUAAAUCCAUAUCCAUAUCCAUUUAUUUUAUCGGAUUUGAAUUCGGAUCGGAUUGGGACAAGAUUUUUUAAAGACCAAUCCAUAUCCAGAUCCAUUAGGAACACGGAUCACGGAUCGGAUAUUCGAAUCCAUUUAACUUUUUUUGAUUUUUUUAGAUUUAAAAAUAUUUUAAAAAAAUUCAUGUCGGUGAUUCUUCAAGUUCCGGAAGGACAAGAUUAAAACGAGAUUUCAUGAUGCAAGUAGCAUGAUAUAUUUUCAUCUAUAAAAAAUAUCACAAAUUAAGUUAGAAAAAAAAAAUACACAAAAUGAUAUAAUUUCGAGGAUACUAGUUGCUCUAACUUUUAAACUCAUACAUACUCCUUUUGUUUGUUAAUAUACGACAUUUGACUUUUUGGUACACAUUUUUAAGUAUUUUGAAAGGUUAGUUAAAAGUAUUUUUAAUAUUUUCUUUUUCUGAAUAAAAAUAUAUAAUCAAUAUUUCAAUUUACAAAAAAAUUCAUUUAAAAAUAAUAUUUUAUACUAUCCGAUCAACCCACCUAAAAAUAUGUGCUCAAGUCAAAAGUGUCGUAUAAAAAAACCAGAGGGAGUCCUAAUUAUUUAAAUGAUUAAUCAAACAUACCAUCCCGGACUCACAUAAAUGCUAUCCAGUCACUAAUACAAUUCAAAAAAUUUAUAAUAUAUAUAUAUAUUCCACCGGAUCGGGUUAUUAACGGAUCAGAUCACCUUAAAUACAUAUCCGCUUUAUUUAUUAUCAGAUUUUUUUAUCGGAUCAGAUUUCAGAUCGAAUUUAUUUUUGAUCCCAGAUCGGCUCGGAUCGGGGCGGAGCUCCGGUCCAUGGACAAACCUACGCCCAGCUCAGCUAGCAUAUAAACAAACAUUUAUAUAUUUGAAUCAUAAAACAAAACGUAAAGCACCCAAUUUUAAGUACAAAGUCUAUUCUUUAAGAUUUUGAUAGUCUAUUGCUCUUAAAGUUCCUUCCUUUCUGGAGUUUUUGAGAAUCCAAGGACUUGAUAUAUACACUUGUUUAAACCCCAACUCAAGAUUUUCUUGCAAUUGAAAAUUUAAGGUAUGCGCUGUUUAGCAUUGCUGUUUUCUGUUUUUUAAGUUUCUAUUAUAUGGGUUUUGCAUUUGUAUUGCUCUAGGUUCAGAAAGUUCAUGUCUUUUCUUAUGUUUUUGUAUCUUCUGGGAAAUUGAUUCUGACCCUAUUGCAUCUUAGAGGGUUUUUUACUUGUAUAUGGUAAUUGGGUUUUGAUUAUAUUGGUGGUUAUAUUGGGGGUCACCCUGUUUGUAUCUGGAUGUUGUUGUAGUGUUUAUUGAGUUGUCUUUAGAUAGUUUGUGGGAGAUUUUGUUUGAAUUGGGAAAAUGCCUUCUACGGAUAGCCCGGGUUUAUCAAUGCCAUUCGCUACAUUUCGUCGAUCAGUUUUUGGUUUAGGGAAUGAUAGAAUUCAUUCCUUGGAAUCGAAUCGUAGUCCACUUGUCCAAAACACUGAGUUUGAGUCAUUUCAGAAUAAAGUCUAUAAGAGAUUUCAUGAUCUCUCGAUUGCCAACUGCCAAGGCUGAUGAGUUUCUUUCACUUACAUGGAUAAGUAAGUUACUUGAUACCUUGAUUGAUUUCCAAGAGGAAUUUAGGGUCCUAUUAUGUAAGUAUAAGGUUGAUAUGUCGAAACCGCCUUUAGACAAGAUGAUUCUGAUUACUUUGAGAGGAGCAUCAAGGUGCUUGACAUAUGUAAUGCAACUAGAGAUGGGGUUGAUAUGAUUAGGCUUUGGAACAAGCAUUUGGAUAUGGUUCUAAGUGCUUUUGGUUCUCGACAAAGGAUCAUUGGUGAAGGCACGUUUCGUCGAGCAAGAAAAGCUUUGACAGAGUUAGCACUCGUGAUGCUUGAUGAUAAGGGCUACGGGAGUGUUGUCUCACACAUGAAUAAGGUCUUUUGGGUGGCAUAAUAAGGGGAAAGAACAGCACUAUCGUUUACAAGGACACUCAAGGUCUCUGUCUUGGAGUGUAUCACAUUCGUGGUCAGCAACAAAGCAGCUUCAAUCCAUUGCAAACACAGUAGUUCCACCGCGUGCUCAUGAGAUCACAGAAACUAAAGGGCUUGCAGUUCCCAUCUUCACAAUGAGUUUUGUGCACAUGUUUGUACUGUGGGCUCUGGUUGCUGCUAUUCCUUGUCAAGAUCGCAGCCUUCAAAUUCAUUUCUCUAUUCCAAGGCAGUUUUCAUGGUCAACUCCUUUUUACUUGAUUCAUGUCAGGAUCAUGGAUGAAUCUAAGAAGAGAGAUCACAGAAGCUCCAUUGGGUUACUUCAGGAGAUAUAUCAGCUAGAAAGUAGUGUUAGACGCAUCACAGAUAUUGUAGAUUCUGCCCACUUUCCUAUGACAGAGCAACAAAAGGAAGAAUCGAAGUCUGCGGUUAAGGAGAUAACUUUGGUAUGUGAAGCUUGUAAAGAUGGAAUGGAUCCCCUUGAACGACAAAUAAGGGAAGUGUUUCGCAGAAUUAUGAGUUUCCGGAUUGAGGGUCUUGCAAUACUAGGGAGGGAAGACUAGCCUUGUUAAUUCAGACCACCACUAAUGAACAGCAAAAAAAAAGAAGAAUAUCGGACGAAUCUGGGAAUUAGUGUUUUGACCAGCCUCGCUCAGAAAAUGUUCUCCCUAUUGUUAUUUAGCAGGUACUUUCUUUAUUUACAAGCAUACCUCACAUAAUGUAAAGAAUAUACGAGUGUUUAUAUUGGACCAUCCUAAACUGGGUGUUAUCCAAAUUAAUUGAUUGGUUUCUUCUUGUUUAUUUCUCUUUCGCAAGGUUUGAUUGAAGGAGCAAGUUUGUGUAUAUGAGAAGAUUCUUUUAAAGGAUAUACGCACACACACCAUUGCUUAUCUGUUUUUAUUGUAUAUCAUCUUGGCCUUCCAUUGAUGAUGAUUAUGAAUAUGAGAAGUUGAUUUGAGUUUGUUUUAAUCUUUUGGUGCGCACUGCACAAUGCACUGCACUAUGGUAGAUGUUUUGAACGGCGAUUGAGAUGAUUCAUUGACAAAAGUAAGAGUUUGUCGGAUGUGGGAGUAGACUGUUAUCUCAUGAAUUUAAAUUGAUGUUUUUGCGGACAACCAAUUCAAAGAAUUUGGAGGAAGGAGUCACUAAUAUACACCUGCAUGGAUUGGAAUUAAUAUGUCCCGACAUGAUUAAUGUUCGUAUAACUAGAACAUAAUGUUUAUCCCUAUUAAAACUGGGGAUGUUUUCGGAUUUGCAUAUCAAUAUCUUGUUGAUUUUUACGUACUUAUGUUUUUGCAAACUUAUUGUCCGUUUUAUUGGUCAAUCAAUGUAUAUGGCUAGAUGUCAUCAAUCAGUUCUGUUAAAGAGCUGUAUGCUUUUUACAUGUAGGGCAUGGUGUAUAUGUUUAAGAAGUAGUGUUUGAAAAUUAAUGACAAUGUUCUUGAAAAACAUGCUUACUUUAAAAAAAAAAAACACAACUAAAAGUAAGGUUCGUCAUGCCUUCGAUCGUUGAUUAUAUGUAGAAAUUCAUUUUUAUUUUUCACUCAUGAAUUAAAGUCCAAUUUUGUAAUUUCAUAUAUUAAUAUUGGUAUUGUAUCGAGAUGUUUAUAAUAUAAAAUUUAUUUUACUCUGCAAAUACUAAUUUUGAGUCAUUAAUAUAAUUUUUAUACGCCGCCGCAACGCGCGGCUUCUCAACUAGUAUAGAACUUAUAGUGAAUUAUUAUAUUGAUAAUGUGACAAUUCUGAUAUUAUUUUUUCUACUUUCUUUUUAUUUAUAUUUUAUUUUAUCUGAUAAAAAAGUUGGAUAUUGAGUUGCAGAGAAGUGAAUAUAAUUAGAGGGAAGUGAAUAUUAUAUUUAUUAAUAAUUUAAAGAAUAACUAGAUACUUUUUUUAACUAAGACACUUUUAGAUGAGAGGAAACUCUUGAAUUUUCAAAAAGCUGUUAUAAAUAUAUUAGAGCACUAUUUUUUCACAUCUCUUUAAAUUUAAAAUUAAGGAUUUUUGUAUAACUCAUCGACAAUGCUCUUAGUUUAUUCAUUGCUAGAUUAUAAAUUACCUACUGUACUUUUUAUGAAAUGGUUGAGACAUAUUUUCACAACAGGUUAAAUCUUGAAUUUUUUUCAAAAUUUUGGUCAAGUUUUUAGUUUGUGAAUUUAAAAAUAAGUCAAAAUAUACUAUUCUAAAUGUAACGAUUUGAAUAAUACACAAGCCCAUUGUAUGCCUCCAAAAAAUCACCAUUUAUUUAUUGGUGUAUUGUGCAAUUGAUAAUGAAUUAAUUCAUAUUAAUAAAUCAAAAGAAUGUCUCUAUUUUGUAAACGUGAGACUGAAAUGUUAUAUAAACACUUAACUCCUUAAAGUUAGAACUUAUUUAUAGGAAUAUAUUUACGAAUCAGUACUGAAAAGCAUGUGUCCAUCAUUCCGGCCAAAGAUGAAAUAAAGAGACCAUGAGAUUUAAAUUAAGGAGCCGUGCAAAAAUUUUACUUGUUUUCUUAUCAUAUAAACAAUCUGAUUUGUCUUAUAUGACGACUAACAGUUUCAAUAUACAACGUAAUAAUGCAGCAAAUUGCUAUGACCAAUGUUCCAGAAUUCGCUAGGCGUCCCUGGACGGUCGGGGUACCUUCGAGUGAUUAAUCGGGAAAUCGGGGAUUAAUCGGAAGGAUUAAUCGGAGCAUUUAAUUGGACAUAUAUUAUUUUUAAAUUAUUAUAAUUAAAUGUAAUUUAAUAAUUUUAUCUAUUUUUCACUACUGGUAGAGUCAAACUGGUAAAUAAUAUAAUAUCACAUAUAAAAUAAAUACUUGAUACAUGUAAUACAAAAUCGUUGAUUAGAUAAAUAUAUAUCAAUCAUUCUCUUAUAAAUAAUUUAAGAAAUAUUAAAUAAAAAUAUUAGUCAUUUUAAUUUUUUUAUAAGAUAUUAAGUUAAUUACAAGUGAAUACUUAAUUUCUUACAAUAUAAUCAUAAUUUUAGAUUUUAUUUAUUAAAAAUAUGAUUUUUUUUGUUAUUAGCCGCCUGGACCGCCUAGGCGGGAUGUUGACCGCCUAGGACCGAUUUUUGUAAAAAAAUGUCUAAUUCACCGCCUAGGACCGAAUCAGGGCGUUUCGGGGCCGCCUAGCGUCUAGGCACCGUCUAGACCAAUUUUUAGAACACUAGUUAUGACCGAGUAGUAUAAUAUGGUGAGCUAUCACAUAACUUUCAUCUGGCGGGAAAAACGACGUUAAACAUAGAAAAUUCUAAUAUGAAAUAAUUUAUAAUGAUAUUGUAACACUUUAAAUAUACGUCAAAAACAUAAUUAUUGUAUUAUUUUUUUCAACUGUAUGUAUGCUACUAAUGUUAGAGAACCAUACCACUUGUAUAUAGUGGUGUACAAAACAGAAAUUGCAAAAUAAGUAUACACGAGCCUUUCACUUCCUUUCCCCAAAAAAAAAUUUUACAACCCAAACCGGCCAAACACUGCCCUAAUUCGAGGAUAAUAAAAAACAGCAACUGUUUAUAUCGGCAACUUUCGUUAAAGCGUUGUUUGUCAGAGACUUUGGUGCGUGUAUACAUACAAUCUCUAUCUCCAUCUGUAUCGCAUAUACGACUGCACAGUGCCCCCAACUCACAAUCUCAAAAAGUCAACACCAUGUUAGUCGUUGGUUGCUUUCUAGCCAGGUUUUGAUGAUGUAGUGGGUAUUAUUCUAUUUCUUAUUAUGUUCAAGAUUCAAGCUUUUUGAUGUUUUUAUGUUCAAUAUGAGUCUUUCAGAUCUUGGUAUGUGAGUUCUUUGGGGGUUUUGUUCUUAAUAAUGGUAUAAUUUCAGUGGUUUUGAUUUUUGGUUCACUGGCUCUCAAGAAAAAAAGUAAAAAAAAUUCUUAUUUUUUAAUUUUAAUUUAUGCUUCUGUUUUUUGCAAGACAUGGUUAGGUUUUUGCCAGUUUUACUUUGUGAUUUAAUUGAUGUUUGAAGGUAGAUAUGCUUGUUGAUUGUGAAUUUUUGGGCUGAUUUUGAAUGGGUCAAUUUUGACUUUUUCAAGUAAUUUGUAUAGUCUGUAUAUAUUUUCUAUCUGAUUUCUGAACUUGAGUUGAUGGAUGCAGAUCUUAAUGUUGCUGUAGGGAUUUGAAAAAAUUGUGUAGUAAGCAGCUUAGAUUCCUCAUCCUUUGGGCCUUUCCUGAUAGCUAUAUGUUUAAUUUUACACUUUGAUAUGCUUGUAAACAUACAAUCUGGUCAUGUUAAGAUUUCUGUUGUGAACUGAGAAUCAGGUACAUAUAUGAUAUAUGUAUGUUUUAUUGAAUUGCAUCUUGAAGAGUUGAAAUAUAAUGUACAAAUGAAACCAAGCCUGCAUUUGAUUUGUUAUUUGUUUCGGUGUAUUGUUGUAUGAGUGUACUGAAUCAAAUAUUUGUUCACAAGAUUAGGCUAAAAUCAACAACCUUAGCCUUUUUUAGUGGAACUGUAAGAGUUAUUAGACCUUGAUAAAUAUCAGAAAGAUGCAAGUAAAAAAUUUCUCAAUUUAGUCUAGUUUAGAGUCACUAUGAAUGUGUCUUUAUCUACUCAUCUUCUUUUCUUUUCUUUUUUCCUUUAGAUGCCCUUUUGAUUUCUCCCUUCUCUUUAUCUGAGAAUAUAAGUCUUUGCCUCAUAAAUCUAAUUGACCUUUCAUAUUUUAUUGCAGCUUUAUUCACAUGUGAAGUGUAAUAAAAUUAUAGAAAUAGAGUGAAAGUAGUUGUGACUAGAGUUCUGAAAGUGAGUUUCAAUUGCCACCAGUUAGAUUUGGAGAUAAAUGUCAUUCCGCAGUAUAGUUCGUGAUGUGCGAGAUAGUAUCGGGAGCUUAUCCAGGCGAAGUUUUGAUGUAAGGGUUUCAUGUCAUCACAGAGGAAAAUCACAUGGUUCAUUUAAUGACCUCGAUGAUCACCCUGUCAUAGUACAGAACAGUCGCUGGGCUAAUCUUCCUCCUGAGCUACUUUAUGAUGUCAUUAAAAGGCUAGAGGAGAGUGAAAGUACAUGGCCAGGUCGAAAGCAUGUUGUUGCAUGCGCUGCUGUUUGCAAAUCAUGGAGGAGUAUGUGCAAGGAUAUUGUUAGAAACCCAGAGUUCUGUGGGAAGCUGACAUUUCCAGUUUCUCUGAAACAGGUAGCUUUUUAUGUCUUUGUUUAUGCUUAUUGCUUACUAAUACACGAUACUACACACUGUUCCUUAUAAAUGACUUACGUUUUGUCUUGGAGUGUGAUGUUCUUCUGUUUGACUAUUUCCGACGUAGUAGUUCUUUGCGACAAAUGUUAUGGUAUGACGACAACGCUAAACCACAUUUAUUGUCUUUUCAGCCAGGAUCUCGUGAUGGGGCUAUUCAGUGCUUUAUAAAGCGGGAUAAGUCUAAUUUGACUUACCACCUUUUUCUCUGUCUUAGCCCUGGUGAGUGAUCUCUUCCAGUCUUAAAGAAGAUAAAUCUUUGUGCUUUAAUGUUCUUGUGAUGCACAUAUCUUAAAUGUUUCUCUCAACAGAGGGAUAUAGAAAGGCUACUGAGAAUUGUUGUCUAGAGUACCAUCGUAAUCUGAUGAUAUCACUAAGAUUGUCAGUAUUGGUUAUAAAUCUGUUAAUCUUUUUGUUGUCAAGGAAAGAGAUAAAUUUAUUAUCAGCACUCCAAUUAUUUGCGGGAUUGCAUUUAUUGCUUGGCUUAUUGGGAACAAAAUGAUAUACAGGCUGCCCUAGUCUAGUCUGUUUGGAUGAAUAAAUUUGUCAGAAGUGGUAAUAAAUCUGCUAUGUUUUUUGUCGUGACUCGUGAGUGAACGAAGCAAAUGCGAGCUAUUAUCAGGACUAUAGUUUCCUAUGGUUGUGUUAUAUCGACUUAUCAAGAGCAAGAUAAUUUUCCCGAAUAGGAUUAUCUUUGUGUUCAGGGUGCAGCACAUAUAAAUUCUUUGAUUACUAUAGUGAAUAUGGAAUUUUUGCAGCGAGUAAUCAUGUGGUUGAACCGGUCAUGUGUGCAGGAAACAGAAGCCCUCUUCUGUUAGAAUAGUUAUUGUGUUUUAUGAGUUUUUGAUAUCACACAUAUAUAAAUCUUAGAUUGAAUGUCUCGCUGGUUUUGAGUGUACUGGACCUUGUUGAUGAAGAGUCCCAUACCUUUUCACUUUCUUCUGAGAUUUGUUAUAAUGCUCAUCUUGUCCAGCUUUUUAAUGCCUUUUGUAUUUCACAUAUACUUUGUCAUGAUUCUCUUUUUAUGCCCUUGUUAGUAAGGUGGUAUGUUUGUGCUUAUAUUAAGUUGUACACACACACACACACGUAUAUGUAUAUAAAUAUAAUAUUCUGUAGGUGUUGAUAUGCUUUUGGGACUUUUCCUUACUGUAGCUUUGCUAGUUGAAAAUGGAAAGUUUCUUCUGUCUGCAAAAAGAACGCGACGAACAACUUGCACAGAAUAUGUGAUCUCUAUGAAUGCAGAAAAUAUUUCAAGGUCCAGCAGCACCUACAUUGGAAAGCUAAGGUAACAAGAUAGAGCUGUGACGUAGAUUAAGAUUUUGAUCUCUCUUUGGCUUAAAUCUCUGAAUUUUUAAUUGGUUUAUUUGAAGUUAUACCAAAAACACAUUGGUGGACUUUAAGCUUAAAUUGGUCACUUUGGAGUGAGUUGAGUUAUAUAAAUAAUGCCCUUGUUGUACCCUGUGAGCUCAGAAUAAGAGCUGCAGCUGCAGGCUUUUGUUUAACUUGGGGAUUAAGAAUGUAUAAAGAACUACUAUUGGUUAAAAAGCAUGUGCUGUAUAUAUGGCUUACAUAAACAGCUGACGUGAUAGGAUCAAGAUAAUUGCACAUAAAUUGCCUUAUCUUGCCUUUUCAUAUCUAAUCGAUACAUAGUAGGAAAAGUCAUUUGUCAUUUGUCAAGCAGAUAUUUGCCUUGCAAUGUAGUUUUACACUUUCAUUAGUUUUCUAAGGUAAAUCAAAGACCCUUGAUGAUGAGCUUACUAGGUGAGUAGUUGUAAUACUUGGUGGGAGUCUAGUCUUUGUGUAAUAUUUUUUCUAGGACGUUAUGCUGCUCUCAUAAUUAAAAAUAUGAUUAGUUGGGUUCACCGCUGAUAAUAUUAAUUGCUAUGCAUUUCUUUUAGUACGAGUCAUCAAUUAAAUUCUCAUGCAUGAGGCAACAUAUAUUCUCCAUUAUAGCAAUGUUUGCUUCCUUCUUAGUACCUCUAAAAACGUGCAAAGUUGGUGUUGUCUUUUGAUAAUGCUUAUAUCUACGUAUAUAAUUUAAGAAAUUAUUUUCUAAAUGCAUCAAAUCUUGUAUGACUGAUAUCAUUGCCGUUGUCUGUUUCAGAUCGAAUUUCCUUGGCACAAAAUUUAUUAUAUAUGAUACCCAGCCUCCACACGCUGGUACCCAUGUUCCGCCACCAGGCAGAUCUAGCCGUAGAUUCUAUUCCAAAAAGGUCUCUCCUAAAGUCCCAACAGGCAGCUAUAACAUAGCUCACAUCACAUAUGAGCUUAAUGUCCUUG
This 12042-nucleotide long non-coding RNA is filed under the name Daucus carota (carrot). RNAcentral describes it as "long non-coding RNA (DCAR_LNC004324)". Lineage: Eukaryota; Viridiplantae; Streptophyta; Magnoliopsida; Apiales; Apiaceae. The record is from RNAcentral.